RNAcentral lists this unclassified non-coding RNA (216 nucleotides) under Glomeromycota sp. RNAcentral's name for it is "partial contains 5.8S ribosomal RNA and internal transcribed spacer 2". The stretch from base 1 to 72 matches the Rfam family "5.8S ribosomal RNA", at positions 84 to 154 of the family's 154-position model. Lineage: Eukaryota; Fungi; Glomeromycota. The record is from RNAcentral.
GUGAAUCAUCAAAUUUUUGAACGCAAAUUGCACUCUCCGGUUUUCCGGGGAAGUAGGCCUGUUUGAGGUUCGGUUUAAAAAAUAAUCGAGUCGUCUGCGGUGGUGGCGCUGCGGAAUUGGGUCAGCGUUCACCUUUCGUGGGUGUAGGCGACCUAAAAUUUUUCUUACGAUUUCUGCAAGCAUUUCUAAGAAUUUUUCUUGUACUGUCGCGACAUC